Long non-coding RNA from Strongylocentrotus purpuratus (purple sea urchin), 223 nucleotides. RefSeq lists it as uncharacterized. NCBI's taxonomy places the organism in Eukaryota, Metazoa, Echinodermata, Echinoidea, Camarodonta, Strongylocentrotidae. The transcript has 3 exons. The record is from RefSeq and is a predicted model, not a curated record.
ACACUGUGUGCACAAGAGAAAAUACACCACGACGCGAAGCCACGUAUCACAGCCUGACAUAAUCUCACCUGUAGAAAUAUAUAUAUUUUGCCAUUUUUUCAACGAAAAGUCAGGGUUCAACUUAAAUAAGGACAAAGCAGAAGAUAUCAAGUGCCCUGCCUCUAUCGCUAGCUAUCCUAGAAACAAAUCAUUUUUCUUGUUUGAACAUCCAUCAUGAGGCAAC